Molecule: ribosomal RNA, 862 nt
Filed under: Anthopleura dowii
Lineage: Eukaryota; Metazoa; Cnidaria; Anthozoa; Actiniaria; Actiniidae
Description: eukaryotic LSU rRNA
Rfam family: Eukaryotic large subunit ribosomal RNA
Source: RNAcentral
GGAUUCCCCUAGUACUGGGAAUGAAUCGGGAACAGCUCAAAUUUCCUAUCUCCGUCGCCUGCGACGGCUAAUUGUAGUUUCGAGAAGCGCUUUCUAGGCGAUCCGGUGCCGUCCAAGUUGCUUGGAACAGCACGUCGCAGAGGGUGACAACCCCGUUCGCGGCGGACGCCGGACCCUUCCGAUUCUUUUUCCAUGAUUCGGGGUUGUUUGGGGAAUGCAGCCCAAAACGGGUGGUAAACUCCAUCUAAAGCUAAAUACUGGCACGAGACCGAUAGCGAACAAGUCCCGUGAGGGAAAGAUGAAAAGCACUUUGAAAAGAGAGUUAAAAAGUACGUGAAACCGUUAAAAGGGAAACGAAUGGGGUUAGCAAUGCGCCGCGCGAGAUUCAGACGGCGGACGGGCCGGGCGCGAGGUUCGCGGAUCCGAACGGACCGCGGCCGCGCGUGCUCCGGUCUAGCCGCCUUCGCACUUCUCGCCGGCGCGCGUCAGCGUCGGUUGGGGCUGGGUCUCAAAGGCGCCGGGAAGGUGGGUCCGACCCCUCGGGGACGGAUCGUUAUAGCCCGGCGUUCGCUCAUGGCUCGGCCCCGACCGAGGCGCCCUUCUACGCGGCGCGUGCCUCUUCUGGCUGGGGUCCCGUCGCGCCGGUCGGCGGUCGACUGCGGUGGACUGCAUGCAGUGCAUCGCGACCGCCGUCGGUCGCCGCGGCGGUGACCUCACACCACGCGCCCAGGACGCUGGCGGUCACAUGGCCUCAUCCAACCCGUCUUGAAACACGGACCAAGGAGUCUAACAUGUGAGCGAGUCUUGGAGUGACCGAAACUCGCCGGCGCAAUGAAAGUGAAGGCGGCCCUGGCGCCGCCGA